RNAcentral lists this ribosomal RNA (111 nucleotides) under uncultured bacterium. RNAcentral's name for it is "partial 16S ribosomal RNA". It matches the Rfam family "Bacterial small subunit ribosomal RNA", at positions 397 to 508 of the family's 1533-position model. The record is from RNAcentral.
CCGCGUGUGGGAGGAAGCUCUUCGGGGUGUAAACCACUGUUGCCCGGGACGAAACCCGCUUUUCGAGGCGGUUGACGGUACCGGGUGAGGAAGCACCGGCUAACUCCGUGC